Molecule: ribosomal RNA, 330 nt
Filed under: uncultured bacterium
Lineage: Bacteria
Description: bacterial SSU rRNA
Rfam family: Bacterial small subunit ribosomal RNA
Source: RNAcentral
UGCGCAGGCGGUUAUGCAAGACAGAUGUGAAAUCCCCGGGCUCAACCUGGGAAUUGCAUUUGUGACUGUAUGGCUAGAGUGUGUCAGAGGGGGGUAGAAUUCCACGUGUAGCAGUGAAAUGCGUAGAUAUGUGGAGGAAUACCGAUGGCGAAGGCAGCCCCCUGGGAUAACACUGACGCUCAUGCACGAAAGCGUGGGGAGCAAACAGGAUUAGAUACCCUGGUAGUCCACGCCCUAAACGAUGUCUACUAGUUGUCGGGUCUUAAUUGACUUGGUAACGCAGCUAACGCGUGAAGUAGACCGCCUGGGGAGUACGGUCGCAAGAUUAAA